Molecule: ribosomal RNA, 353 nt
Filed under: uncultured bacterium
Lineage: Bacteria
Description: bacterial SSU rRNA
Rfam family: Bacterial small subunit ribosomal RNA
Source: RNAcentral
AGCGAACGCUGGCGGCGUGCUUAACACAUGCAAGUCGAGUGCGCGGUUCGUAGCAAUACGAACUGGCGCACGGCGCACGGGUGAGGAACACGUGGGCAACAUGCCCUCCGAUGGGGGAAUAACCCGCCGAAAGGCGGGCUAAUACCGCAUACGAUUCCGGGGACCUCGGUUCCUGGACUGAAAGCCCGCAAGGGCGUCGGUGGAGUGGCCCGCGGCCGAUUAGCUUGUUGGCGGGUAACGGCCACCAAGGCAUGAUCGUAGCCGGUCUGAGAGGAUGAUCGGCCACACUGGAACUGAGACACGGUCCAGACUCCUACCGGGAGGCAGCAGUGGGGAAUCUUGCGCAAUGGGCG